AGUGAACGCUGGCGGUAGGCCUAACACAUGCAAGUCGAACGGCAGCACAGGAGAGCUUGCUCUCUGGGUGGCGAGUGGCGGACGGGUGAGGAAUACAUCGGAAUCUACUUUUUCGUGGGGGAUAACGUAGGGAAACUUACGCUAAUACCGCAUACGACCUACGGGUGAAAGCAGGGGACCUUCGGGCCUUGCGCGAUUGAAUGAGCCGAUGUCGGAUUAGCUAGUUGGCGGGGUAAAGGCCCACCAAGGCGACGAUCCGUAGCUGGUCUGAGAGGUUGAUCAGCCACACUGGAACUGAGACACGGUCCAGACUCCUACGGGAGGCAGAAGUGGGGAAUAUUGGACAAGGGGAGCAAGCCUGAUCCAGCCAUACCGCGUGGGUGAAGAAGGCCUUCGGGUUGUAAAGCCCUUUUGUUGGGAAAGAAAUCCAGCUGGCUAAUACCCGGUUGGGAUGACGGUACCCAAAGAAUAAGCACCGGCUAACUUCGUGCCAGCAGCCGCCGUAA
This 506-nucleotide ribosomal RNA is filed under the name uncultured bacterium. Its description in RNAcentral is "partial 16S ribosomal RNA". It matches the Rfam family "Bacterial small subunit ribosomal RNA", at positions 29 to 523 of the family's 1533-position model. The record is from RNAcentral.